This 253-nucleotide ribosomal RNA is filed under the name uncultured bacterium. Its description in RNAcentral is "partial 16S ribosomal RNA". It matches the Rfam family "Bacterial small subunit ribosomal RNA", at positions 524 to 776 of the family's 1533-position model. The record is from RNAcentral.
UACAGAGGAUGCAAGCGUUAUCCGGAAUGAUUGGGCGUAAAGCGUCUGUAGGUGGCUUUUUAAGUCCGCCGUCAAAUCCCAGGGCUCAACUCUGGACAGGCGGUGGAAACUACCAAGCUGGAGUACGGUAGGGGCAGAGGGAAUUUCCGGUGGAGCGGUGAAAUGCGUAGAGAUCGGAAAGAACACCAGUGGCGAAGGCGGGUCUCUGGGCCGAUACUGACGCUGAGGAGCGAAAGCGUGGGGAGCGAACAGG